UGGGCAGCGAUAAUUAAAAAGUAAUUCCUCAUUCUCAAUGCUGUUAUCAUGGCAUAAUGGACAAUUAUGGUAUCCAUAGAAUUUGAGCUUCC
This 92-nucleotide small nucleolar RNA is filed under the name Olea europaea subsp. europaea. RNAcentral's name for it is "Small nucleolar RNA snoR8a". It matches the Rfam family "Small nucleolar RNA snoR8a". The record is from Rfam by way of RNAcentral. Lineage: Eukaryota; Viridiplantae; Streptophyta; Magnoliopsida; Lamiales; Oleaceae.